UUAACUAAAACCAAAUAGAGGUAUAUUAUUGUUAAUAAUAUUAUUGAAUAUUAUAAAUCUUCUAGUUGAA
This 70-nucleotide transfer RNA is filed under the name Atta laevigata. Its description in RNAcentral is "tRNA-Asn". The record is from RNAcentral. Lineage: Eukaryota; Metazoa; Arthropoda; Insecta; Hymenoptera; Formicidae.